GGGUUAGUAGGUUGGUCAUGCCUCUGGUAUGUACUGGUCUCACUGAUUCCUCCUUCCUGAUGAGCCGUAAUGCCAUUAAUUUGGUGUUGCAGGGAAUUUGACUGUUACUUUGAAAAAUUAGAGUGUUUAAAGCAAGCUAACGCUUGAAAACAUUAGCAUGGAAUAAUGAAAUAGGACGUUCGAUCCUAUUUUGUUGGUUUCUAGAGUCGCCGUA
This 214-nucleotide ribosomal RNA is filed under the name Campeiostachys nutans. Its description in RNAcentral is "Elymus nutans partial small subunit ribosomal RNA". The record is from RNAcentral. Lineage: Eukaryota; Viridiplantae; Streptophyta; Magnoliopsida; Poales; Poaceae.